GACGAACGCUGGCGGCGUGCUUAACACAUGCAAGUCGAACGGAAAGGCCCUGCUUUUGUGGGGUGCUCGAGUGGCGAACGGGUGAGUAACACGUGAGUAACCUGCCCUUGACUUUGGGAUAACUUCAGGAAACUGGUGCUAAUACCGGAUAGGAGCUCCUGCUGCGUGGGGGGGGUUGGAAAGUUUCGGCGGUUGGGGAUGGACUCGCGGCUUAUCAGCUUGUUGGUGGGGUAGUGGCUUACCAAGGCUUUGACGGGUAGCCGGCCUGAGAGGGUGACCGGCCACAUUGGGACUGAGAUACGGCGCAGACUCCUACGGGAGGCAGCAGUGGGGAAUAUUGCACAAUGGGCGGAAGCCUGAUUCAGCAACGCCGCGUGCGGGAUGACGGCCUUCGGGUUGUAAACCGCUUUCGCCUGUGACGAAGCGUGAGUGACGGUAAUGGGUAAAGAAGCACCGGCUAACUACGUG
This 468-nucleotide ribosomal RNA is filed under the name uncultured bacterium. RNAcentral's name for it is "partial 16S ribosomal RNA". It matches the Rfam family "Bacterial small subunit ribosomal RNA", at positions 28 to 507 of the family's 1533-position model. The record is from RNAcentral.